ACCCCAGUGGCCUAAUGGCUAAGGCACUGGCCUCCCAAGCCAGGGAUUGUGGGUUCGAGCCCUGUAUGGGGGA
Molecule: non-coding RNA, 73 nt
Organism: Pangasius djambal
Lineage: Eukaryota; Metazoa; Chordata; Actinopteri; Siluriformes; Pangasiidae
Source: the annotation of a GenBank genome assembly